CAUGGGAACAGAGCUGAAUGGAAAGACCCUGGGAAUUCUUGGCCUGGGAAGGAUUGGGAGAGAGGUGGCUACCCGGAUGCAGUCCUUUGGGAUGAAGACGAUAGGGUAUGACCCCAUCAUUUCCCCAGAGGUCUCGGCCUCCUUUGGUGUUUCAGCAGCUGCCCCUGGAGGAGAUCUGGCCUCUCUGUGAUUUCAUCACUGUGCACACUCCUCUCCUGCCCUCCACCAGAGGCUUAUCCAACAACAGCACCUGUGCCCAGUGCAAGAAGGGGGUACAUGUGGUGAACUGUGCCUGCGGAGGGAUCGUGGACGAAGGUGCCCUGCUCCGGGCCCUGCAGUCGGGCCAGUGUGCCGAGGCUGCGCUGGACGUGUUUACGGAAGAGCCACCACGGGACCGAAAUUUGAUGGACCAUGAGAAUGUCAUCAGCUGUCCCCACCUGGGUGUGAGCACCAAAAAGGCGAAGAGCCGCUGUGGGGAGGAAAUUGCUGUUCAGUUCGUGGACAUGGUGAAGCUCUCACAGGGCUUGUAAAUGCCCAGGCCCUUACCAGCGCCUUCUCUCCACAUACCAAGCCUUGGAUUGGUCUGGCAGAAGCUCGGGGGACACUGAUGCGAGCCUGGGCUGGGUCUCCCAAAGGGACUAUCCAGGUGAUAACACAAGGAACAUCCCUGAAGAAUGCUGGGAACUGCCUAAGCCCUGCAGUCAUCGUCGGCCUCUUGAAGGAGGCUUCCAAGCAGGAGGAUGUGAACUUAGUGAACGUCAAGCUGCUGGUGAAAGAGGCUGGCCUCAAUGUCACCACCUCCCACAGCCCGGCACCACCAGGGGAGCAGGGCUUCGGGGAAUGUCUCCUGGCUGUGGCCUUGGCAGGCGCCCCUUACCAGGCUGUGGGUUUGGUCCAAGGCACCACACCUGUGCUGCAGGGGCUCAGUGGAGCUGUCUUCAGGCCGAAAGUGCCUCUCCGCAGGGGCCUGUCCCUGCUCCUAUUCCAGAUUCAGGCUUCUGACCCUGCAAUGCUGCCUACCAUGACUGGCCUCCUGGCAGAGGCAGGCAUGCGGCUGCUGUCCUACCAGACUUUACUGAUGUCAGACGGGGAGACCUGGCACGUCAUGGGCAUCUCCUCCUUGCCUGCCCAGCCUGGAAGCGUGGAAGCAGCAUGUGACCGAGGCCUUCCACUUCUACUUCUAA
Molecule: non-coding RNA, 1184 nt
Organism: Saimiri boliviensis boliviensis (Bolivian squirrel monkey)
Lineage: Eukaryota; Metazoa; Chordata; Mammalia; Primates; Cebidae
Source: RefSeq, a predicted model, not a curated record